GAUGAACGCUGGCGGCGUGCCUAAUACAUGCAAGUCGAGCGAACAGACGAGGAGCUUGCUCCUCUGACGUUAGCGGCGGACGGGUGAGUAACACGUGGAUAACCUACCUAUAAGACUGGGAUAACUUCGGGAAACCGGAGCUAAUACCGGAUAAUAUAUUGAACCGCAUGGUUCAAUAGUGAAAGACGGUUUUGCUGUCACUUAUAGAUGGAUCCGCGCCGCAUUAGCUAGUUGGUAAGGUAACGGCUUACCAAGGCGACGAUGCGUAGCCGACCUGAGAGGGUGAUCGGCCAAACUGGAAGUGAGACACGGUCCAGACUCCUACGGGAGGCAGCAGUAGGGAAUAUUCCGCAAUGGGCGAAAGCCUGACGGAGCAACGCCGCGUGAGUGAUGAAGGUCUUCAGAUCGUAAAACUCUGUUAUUAGGGAAGAACAAAUGUGUAAGUAACUAUGCACGUCUUGACGGUACCUAAUCAGAAAGCCACGGCUAACUACGUG
RNAcentral lists this ribosomal RNA (497 nucleotides) under uncultured bacterium. Its description in RNAcentral is "partial 16S ribosomal RNA". It matches the Rfam family "Bacterial small subunit ribosomal RNA", at positions 28 to 507 of the family's 1533-position model. The record is from RNAcentral.